RNAcentral lists this ribosomal RNA (119 nucleotides) under Cottoperca gobio. Lineage: Eukaryota; Metazoa; Chordata; Actinopteri; Perciformes; Bovichtidae. The record is from RNAcentral.
GAUUAUGGCCAUACCACACUGACAACGCCCGAUCUCGUCUGAUCUCGGAAGCUAAGCAGAGGUGGGCUGGGUCAGUACUUGAAUGGGUGACCGCCUGGGAAUACCCGGUGCUGUAAGCA